This 2485-nucleotide long non-coding RNA is filed under the name Equus caballus (horse). RNAcentral describes it as "lncRNA (ENSECAG00000056087.1)". The record is from RNAcentral. Lineage: Eukaryota; Metazoa; Chordata; Mammalia; Perissodactyla; Equidae.
CAGUUAGGGUCAAUGGCCUGGAAGGCAUGAACUCAGACCACCUGUGACUGUUAAUGAAAGAGAAGAUGCCUUCAUUCAGAGAUCACACAUGUCCAAAGCCCUGUUGUGGCUCAACUUUUGCUUCUAUUCAUUAUCUAUUGGAAAAGGCAAGCCUUUUAAAAAUAUGCAUAUUCUAUUCAAGUGGGCAACUCAUUAUCGUUAUUACUCACAUUAAGAGCUAAUGUCCACAAUAGGCCUCAUGCAGGCUAUGCAAAGUCACUGCGCAAGGAAAGAGAAAGCCCCUCAGUAACUGCAUUAAUGGCUUCCAGAGGGGAUUUCUCAGUGGCAAUAGAUGUGUCACCAAAAAAUAAAGUCUGGUCAUCAAAGAUGAUUGAUGAUAAGAAUAAUCAAAAUAAUGUUAAUAAUAAUACCCUCAUAAAAUAAAGGAAAACAUUCCAUUCUCAUGUCUUCUUACUGGGAUGAUGAGUUUCUAUUAUUAAAAUCAUUAUUUCUCCUGUCAAAAACCAGACAUGAAAUAACUCAAAAACUGUCACAAAGAACAUUUAUGUAUUGAUGGAGCCAAAAAGAAAAGUCUAGAAUAUGGGAUGCUGUCCAUGCCUUAGUGUACCUCCACCUAGGGGCCACUGCAAAUAUGGGACAAUCAAGACACUGAGAACUGUUAAGAGUAGGAAGAUACUAAAAACAGGAUCUAUCAAGUUUUGCUGAGGUCAAUUUGAUGUGUUGGAAUGGUACACAUGUUAAUUAAUCAAGAAGCUAUGUUUAUGCAAAUGAAUACAAAAUUUGGAGGCAAAUUAUUAAGUUUUACAGAAUAAAAAUAAAAUUUGAAUUUGAGGGAAAAAAAGCAGUAAUUUUUAUAUCAAUUUAUGAAAAGCAGCUAAUGAGCCAUGUCAGGAGUCCUAACUUGAUUUCUGGAGGCAGAAGAAUACGUAUCUACAGAUAAAGCUGUUAACUAGAUCAUUGGAUUGGAUCAGAUUUCCUAUGCUGGAGCUCACAGGAUUCAGGAACCUUGAGCCCUAUUUAGCAGAGCCAGGAAAUGAACUCAUGUCUGUCUUAACAUAAAGCCUAUGUGCUUUCUGCUUAACUGUGGCCCACAUGCUAAAAUUUCUUCCUGUCAUUCCAUACAAUGUGCUAUUUCACUUAGAAAGAUUUCACAAACCUUUUAAAUGUGGAAAGAGGAGGAAAGCUAGUCCACAGUUUCUCCAUUACUAAUCAUCUAUCUAUCCUGCUCAGCUAUAAAACAAGAAGACGCAGUUCAUGCCCUCAAAAUGCUCUGGUUUGCAUCUAAUCAGAGAUUAGAAUUGAGAAAAUCUUUUCUUCCAAGGAAGGCUGCAGUUUCAAUCAGAAGAUGGCAAAGAAGUGACGUCAAUACCCAAAUUGCAAAUCGUGUUUUAAAACACUCCCCAAAGAACAUUUAAGCGUUAAUAAUCAAGAUCAGGAAUCACUUUUGCAAGUAGCAUGAAAGUUGUGUAAGUGUUAUUUAAACUAGGCAUGUAAGAAGAAAAGUCAUAAGGUUAAACAUUAUUCCCUAUUGAGUCUAGGAGAAGAAAAAAAAGCACUAAACAUAAGUAUAACUUUACUGGGUACCAAGUUGACAGUCUCUGUCCUCUUAGCUCCUUGGAAGAAGGGUCUAAGAUGUGUUUAUCUUUUGAACUCCUGUAUCUAAUUUCCAUUAAAAUUAUUCAGUGAGUGCUAAUUAACUGCCUUCCCUCCAUCUUCUAGGAAUAUGUUAUAGUAGUUAUUUCUACAAUGAUUAUGAGCAUGUACAGUGGGGCUGUUUUACAUUUGGAGAGCGGAGUCGUGAAACUGACGAAUUGCAAAGUCUCCUGUCAGAGGAGAUGCAUUUUCAUUCUCUUUUAAAGUAAGUGUUGCAGGAGGUUAUGAGGGAAAGUGUCUCAGUCUAUCCCUAGUUUGUGGAACUGACUGACAUAAGAUGCUCUUUCUAAAGUGACUCCAUUUUUAAGGUGCGGCCCACUCUCUGUAGAGAUGUAACAACAACAAACCAAAAUAUAUAUUUUCUACUAAAACAUAGGUAGAAAAUUCUUAGUUUAAAAAUGGGCCUUAUUCCAAAAAUCUGUAAAGCAGUUGUUUAAACUGACUGCUUUCUCCCCUAGAAACAAUUGGAUAUAUAGCCAUCAUGUUGAUGAAAGAUUGCACGAAAUUGACACAACUAUUAACAGAGUUAAACUGGGGCCUAAGAUCUAUGUCCUGAGAUAGGACCAAACCCUGCAGAGAGGAAGGGAGGAGGAUGGCAAGUAAAGCUUUUCUUCCUUGUAGCCGAUGGCAGGAUGAGCCUCAAAAGAGUUUCGAAGUAGGCAAAUUGUGUCUCGGGAGUUGUGUUGCUUCACUUUUUAUGUUGCUCUCCUGGUACACGGUGUUCUCCCAGGCCUUGCUGUUCUUCAGCUCCUUUCCCCCAGCCUCACUCUCAGAAAUCAUUUACUUCAUUUUCCUGAAACCACAUCUCAGAAUCUCUUUGUGCAGUGAUUCU